This 88-nucleotide transfer RNA is filed under the name Neolecta irregularis DAH-3. It matches the Rfam family "tRNA". From Rfam's summary of the family: Transfer RNA (tRNA) molecules are approximately 80 nucleotides in length. Their secondary structure includes four short double-helical elements and three loops (D, anti-codon, and T loops). The record is from Rfam by way of RNAcentral. Lineage: Eukaryota; Fungi; Ascomycota; Neolectomycetes; Neolectales; Neolectaceae.
UCCGUCGUAGUACAGUGGCUAGUAUACUUCGCUCUCAUACCAAGGCUGUUGUCCCGAAGAGACCCGGGUUCAAUUCCCGGCGACGGAA